ACACCUGCGCAGGUUAAACCUGCAGGGACGCGCUGCCGCGAGCGGCGCGGGAAGGCGGCGCUGGCGGCGGCCCCGGGACCCGCGGAAGCCGGCAUGCUGGAGAAAUUCGAGUUGGAAGAAGAAGCUUGAAAAUAUGUCCUACGGCAUCCAGCAACCACUCUACAUAAACUAACAAACGAAACCAAAAAUGUGCUUUCACUCAAACUCAUUCCCAACUGGAGUAGAGUUCCCCGAAGUGAGCAAAGAUUGGUUCUCGUCAGGGGACAAAAAUCAUAGCUGUGACAGCGGUUCGUGGCUCUCCAAAGGGCCCUGGAACAGAUGUGCGGCGUAUCUGUCGUAGUCAAGUGUCCUGGGGGUGGGACAGUUGGGUGAAAAUGUACGGAAGGGCGGGGACUGGGGAACCGUGAAAAAAAGGUUGAGACGCACCGUUGUCACAUGCUUCAGGGAGACUGUCUUCCUGUGUAUCUGUGGAGCCUUUGAAGGUGUCCCCCUGUUCACUUAGCUUUGAGAGCGGCCUCCCCGUGAGGCUCUGCUGGGUCCCUUGGACAUUUACUGGCCGUAACACAGGGGCACUGACCUCUGCUGGUGACAGGUCUGAUCCCAGCUUGGUGCUUGCUGAUCUCAUCCCGUCGUUUUAGAAGCUUCUGGUCCUCUGUCAUCCGGACUCUACCCUUCCUUCCCUGCUGAGUUUGCACACUUGGCCCAGACAAGAGGUUUUUCUCUUUCUUGAUUGUAAAAGUAGUUCGUUUUAUGAAAUGUUUACAGACGAAGCUUUUCUUCUUUGGCUGGCCCCGAAUUUGAAAGCUUGCCGUAUUUAAUAGGUUUCGGGAAGGCAUUCGAAAGCCGCUGAAGUCAGGCUCCAGCUUCCUGGUUGAUGGUGUCUGGAUUCCAGGAGCUGGAGCAGUUUUGAGACCGCAGAGGUCUUGUCAUCUGAAACACUAAGACCCCUGCCUGCUUUGAGCAAGAGAAGAGCACAGAGGGACUGAGGACACCCGAAGUGGCCCCGUGACCGAGCUUCACAAGCCUCAUAAUGGAAAGUCAUCAGAAGCCAAGGCAGUGCUGCUGAGUCAUGUCCACGAUGACAGGCUCUCCUCGACCUUCCCUCUCGAGACUGGCUCUGUCUGCUCUGGGGAUUGGGGGGCGGGGGGGCACUCCGCAGCCCUGUGGUCAGCUGGCCAGGGUCCAGAACAGUGAUUCAGACGCUCCAUAGCUGGGCUGCUUCCACCCACACAGAAUCCUUGCAGCUCUGUCACACAGAAUCCUUGAAACGCUCUGUCUCACCUGCGAAUUUUAAAGCCGAAAAAUUUUGAUACCACAAGGCAUUUGGAGUUUACUCAAAAAAAGUGGAAGGAUUUUUGUCCUUUUUCUAUGAUUAUAAUAACUGGCGCAGAGUUCCUAUCAUGGCUCAGCCGAAACGAAUCUGACUAGCAUCCCUGAGGACGCAGGUUCGAUCCCUGGCCUCGCUCAGUGGGUUAAGGAUCCGGCGUUGCCGUGAGCUGAGGUGUAGGUUGCAGACGCGGCUCGGAUCCCUCAUUGCUGUGGCUGUGGUGUAGGCCGGCGGCUACAGCUCCAGUUGGACCCCUCACCUGGGACCCUCCGUAUGCCUUGGGUGCGGCCUUAAAAAGCAAAACAAAAAAAUGUGGCGUAUAUUAAGUAUAUCAAGGCCCUGCUGUGUUGUCAACCUUUUACGCUGAUCUGAUCUAAUCCUCAAAACAAGUCUAAGAGGGAAAAGCUUCUGUCACCCUGCUUCAUGGAGGAGGAAAUGAAGGAGGUGAGGGGUUGAGUGAGUUACCUCCGGGGACGCAUCUGGGAAGGUGGGGUCAGCAGGUUUCAAAGGCCGUCGUUGGGCUCCGAGCCAGGCCGUGUGACCGACAUGGACUAAUCUACAGCCGGAAACCCUCUUUCCAUUUUCUCACGUCCUAUUCAUUCUUCAGCCCAUUUCCACCGCUCCACCCAGCUUCCUGAGGUGGUCACUCGUGGCUCCAUUCUGCAAACUCCAGUGGCCACUCAGUCCUUUUCUCAUUUUGAGCUCUCGGUCGCUGUCACCAGAGAUGACCUCUGCCCCCUUCUCCCCGAAAACCCUCCGGUGUUCUCUGCACACCUCCUCGUUUCCUCCGUGCAUCUCAGUUUUGUUUUCAGUAGGAGAUUUAGCAGCGUCAAACACACGUGCCACACGCCUGCCCUCCUUUCUCAACAGCGGCUGUUGGACUUGCUCCCGGCCCAUCUGAAGUCCCCUUGUCUUGCCCUCUGGGACCCUCACCCUGGGCAGCCUCCCCGCCUGUCGCCCAGGGUGUGGGUACACGAUGCUUCGAUAACUAGUGACGCCCGGUAGAUAUUUGCAGCCAGAUCUCUCGAGUGUUGGGGCGCCUGUUGGAUGUCUCUGCCUGAGCCGCUCCCCGUCUCUCUGCUCUGUCGUCCCCCCGCCCCGCUUCAGUAGUACCACGUCCCCUGGUACCACGUCCCCUGGUUGUUUGAUUUGUUUUGUAGUUUAACACAAAUGACGUUUGGCUCUGGCUCGCUCCCUCUCCCGCAUGCACGUUUGCAGUCCUCUCACUGUCACCUGCUAAGUACCCACGUGUCUCUGUCACUUCUGUCCUCGCUCCAGGCCAGGCCAUCGUCAUCUUUCUCUUGACUAUUAAACAGUCUGACCUCUCCAGCACCUACUCGGGCCCCUCCCGUCAGCUUCAGCUGCAGUCAGACACAGUUUCUAAGAACAUGGACCUAGGAGCUCCCACUGUGGCACAACGGGACUGGCAGCAUCUCGAGCACUGGGACGCAGACUCGCUCCCCGGCCCUGCGUAGCAGGUUAAGCGUCUGGCGUUGCCACAGCUACGGCUUCAGUCUGAUCUGAUCCCCGGCUCGGGAACGCCGUUUGCCACGGGGAGGCCAAAAACCAGAUAAACAAACCCUGUUCCCUAAUCCUGUCACUUCCACGUUUAAAAGCCUCUCUGACUUUCCUCUGCCUUUAGGCCGGAGCCGAGACUUCUUGCUCUGUUCCCGGACGUGCCGCACUGGCUCCUCCCUCUGCCGCCUCCGUGCCGUCUAGACGUCACACGGGCUGUUCCCUCACCCUGGGUUCUUCCCUGUCCUCUUGGCCACCUGCUCGUUUUCUCCAGGUCUCAGCCUAAAUGUCACUUCCUUGGGAACAGUGACUUUCUGGAAGCCCCGGAAAGGCCUUCACAUAUUAUCUCGUGAUCCCGCGUAGUUGACGGUGCCGUUAAGAAGAAACAUUUAUUCAUGUCUCUUGGCCGUUGUGGGAGCUCUGGGAGGAGGGCACGCAAAGCUUCACAUGUGCCAGCUCUCCAGGAUGGUGCGACGAGUAGACUGAGUGGUGGUAAAUACUUUUUACUCCCGUGAACCGGUUUUUUGGCGCUUUAACUCUACUCUGGCACGAGGACCAGCCCGAUAGCCGGGACGUCCGAGGUAACGUUCCCUCUUAGGAAGCAAGCAAGCAUGUCCACGUGAGGCCUGAGAGGAGGUCCGUUCGCCCAGCUGACGUGCUGAUCACAGAGCCCUGGCGAGGCGGGGGGACAGGGUGCCUCCCUGCCAGGUGCGCCAAGGCCUCUCCCCCUCAGUGGGAGGCGGGAGAGACUGGCCAGCGCCCGGAUGGUCCCAGGCAGUGACGGCGGGUCAGGACUGGCGUCCAUGAUCUGGUGGCUUCGGGAAGAGGCUUUGAGCGCUUUCUUUUGUGACUAUGACGUAAGUGUAACUUAACUCAGAUACUAAAAGGAGAGCCGUUUGGGGGGGACGAAUUUGGGAACCAUUGGAUCAAAUCGUAGUCAUUGUUUUAAUCUUUUCAUUUGCUGCUUCUGUCCCUCUUGGAGCUGUUUCCUGUGUGUCUGAAUUUCUUUCAGGUCAUCGAAGUUUCUGGACUUUGUAGCACCUGGUUCAUUUUAUCUUAGGUUACACUUUGAUCAUUUGUCUCUUGUAAGUUGCUACCAAUAAACUGUUACCUUUUACAC
Molecule: long non-coding RNA, 3962 nt
Filed under: Sus scrofa (pig)
Lineage: Eukaryota; Metazoa; Chordata; Mammalia; Artiodactyla; Suidae
Description: lncRNA (ENSSSCG00045000083.1)
Source: RNAcentral